GACGAACGCUGGCGGCGUGCUUAACACAUGCAAGUCGAACGGGCCUGCCUGGCUUUGGUUGGGUGGGUGAGUGGCGAACGGGUGAGUAACACGUGAGUAACCUGCCCUCUUCUCUUGGAUAACUGCUUGAAAGGGCGGCUAAUACGGGAUGUUCUGGCUGCCUCGCAUGGGGUGGUUUGGAAAGAUUCGGCCUGGUUUUGGUUGUUUUGGUGGGGGAUGGGCUCGCGGCUUAUCAGCUUGUUGGUGGGGUGAUGGCCUACCAAGGCGGUGACGGGUAGCCGGCCUGAGAGGGUGGACGGUCACACUGGGACUGAGACACGGCCCAGACUCCUCGGGAGGCAGCAGUGGGGGAUUUUGCACAAUGGGCGCAAGCCUGAUGCAGCGACGCCGCGUGAGGGAUGGAGGCCUUCGGGUUGUGAACCUCUGUCGCCGGUGAUGUAGGCUCUGCUUUGUGGGUGG
This 459-nucleotide ribosomal RNA is filed under the name Actinomyces sp. oral taxon 448. RNAcentral's name for it is "bacterial SSU rRNA". It matches the Rfam family "Bacterial small subunit ribosomal RNA", at positions 28 to 467 of the family's 1533-position model. Lineage: Bacteria; Bacillati; Actinomycetota; Actinomycetes; Actinomycetales; Actinomycetaceae. The record is from RNAcentral.